This 73-nucleotide transfer RNA is filed under the name Bos taurus (domestic cattle). It matches the Rfam family "tRNA". Rfam says of the family: Transfer RNA (tRNA) molecules are approximately 80 nucleotides in length. Their secondary structure includes four short double-helical elements and three loops (D, anti-codon, and T loops). The record is from Rfam by way of RNAcentral. Lineage: Eukaryota; Metazoa; Chordata; Mammalia; Artiodactyla; Bovidae.
UUCCUGGUGGUCCAGUGGCUAAGACUUUGCAGUGGUGAUGCAGGCGGCCCAGGUUCGAUCCCUGAUCAGGGAG